GGCAAUGUGGCUUAGUGGAUAAAGCACUAUACUGGGAUUCAGGAGAUCUGGGUUCUUUACACAGCUCUGCCA
Molecule: transfer RNA, 72 nt
Filed under: Chelonia mydas (Green sea turtle)
Lineage: Eukaryota; Metazoa; Chordata; Testudines; Cheloniidae
Rfam family: tRNA
About the family: Transfer RNA (tRNA) molecules are approximately 80 nucleotides in length.
Source: Rfam by way of RNAcentral